GUGCCAGCCGCCGCGGUAAUACGAAGGGUGCGAGCGUUAUUCGGAAUUAUUGGGCGUAAAGGGUUCGUAGGCGGGAUUGUAAGUCAAGUGUGAAAUCCCCGAGCUUAACUCGGGACGUGCAUUUGAAACUGUGAUUCUUGAGUCAUUGAGAGGGUGGUGGAAUUGUUGGUGUAGGAGUGACAUCCGUAGAGAUCAACAGGAACAUCAGAGGCGAAAGCGGCCACCUGGCAAUGUACUGACGCUGAGGAACGAAAGCGUGGGGAGCAAACAGGAUUAGAAACCCCGGUAGUCC
This 292-nucleotide ribosomal RNA is filed under the name uncultured bacterium. RNAcentral's name for it is "partial 16S ribosomal RNA". It matches the Rfam family "Bacterial small subunit ribosomal RNA", at positions 505 to 796 of the family's 1533-position model. The record is from RNAcentral.